UUUUUGUAGCGUGUUCUGGAAGCCUCCGUCGAGUGCAGCCAGAUACAAACGGUUCAUUUUACUUUCGGUUUUGUUCUCGGAUACAGACACGCAGCGUGAAGAAAGAAGACGUAGAUAUCGAUCCUUCACUAUGAAAUAUAAAGUGCUGGAUUUUUUUUCGUGCAUAGAGAGAGUGAGAGACUGUGAAAGGAGAAGAGGAGCAAUCGAUCUGGAUUCGUUUGGGUAGAGGUGCAGAGACGGAGAGAGAUUGUGUAAGGAGAAGAGCAGGAACCGGUGUUGGUUUGGUUGCGAAGAGGUGGGUGCGUGCGAAUAUUGGGAUCCAGUUUCAGCAAAAGCAAACUUCCAGGUAAAUUUGGAUCCUCUCCUUUAGAGCUUUUACCUUCUCGGGUGUCGUUACUUUGAUAACGAUUGAUUCAAUUAUUCAUAUCUGAUAUCUAAUUACGCGGAUUGAGGGAUUAUUUGGGGUUUAUGUGAAGUGGGUUUGCUUGAACAAGAGGUUUGCUUCUGUUGGGGAUUUGUUUUUUUUUUGGUCUGGAAAUUUAUCUGGUGAUGCAAGGCAUUUACUUUUACCGAGCUGGAGGUUAGACGACUGUGGGUUUUCUGUGAAAUUGGUAAUUUUAAAGAGUUGAGAUUGGUGAUGAUUGGUUUGAUGAAAAGAUUAGCAUAAUUAUAGGAAAGGUGAAGGAAGAAAUAGGUUCUGCGGCUUUGAUUUUUUGUUUCAUUGUUCACCUUUUCAGAUCCGAGAAGGAGUUUGGGUAAAACCCAAAUAAAAUUGUAGUUGAUUUCAUCACCAAUCUUUGCACUGGAGCGGUUAGGAUUACCUGGGGCAAUGUCUUCCUUGAGUAGGGAACUGGUGUUCUUGAUUUUACAGUUCUUGGACGAGGAGAAGUUCAAGGAAACAGUUCAUAAGUUGCUAUUCUUGAAUUCUGUUUCCAAAUAAAGAGCUCUAGAACUGAUCCACAGUCUCAGAGGAAAAAAAUAAGUCGGUUCUGCAACGCUGAUUGUGAAUCUUCGACAGCCCAGUUGAGAGAACAGCUCCUGUUGUCGACAACGCUAAGAACUGGAGCCAAGGGGAAGAGAAGCAUUUGGGUCUCGGUUUUGAUAGGUGCAACGAUAUUGAUCCAAUUAGGUGUGUUUUUCCUUCUUUCUUUUGUUGCAAAAUUGUUUUAAAUCUUCUUUGAUUUUGUUUGUGCUUUGUUUCCUUUGGCUUCUUUUGAUUGAUCCUCUUGAAGCUUUGUGUAUAAUUUGAAAGUCUAUUCGAUUUUGUAGUUUUUUAUACAGAAUUAUUGUUUCUUUAUUUGCUGAAUUUCUGCUUUCGAUGUAAAUUUGGGUCAUGCUUCUUAUUUGAAUUGGUCUAAUCUGUGGGAUUUGGUUAAUUUCAGUGAGUGGUUUUUUUUUUUUUUGGUUUGGUUUUGUCUUUUUAUUGCAGGCGAUUUUCUGAAAUUUGUUCUUAAUUUCUUUUAGUGUUAGUGUUUUUAGUUAGUAGCCUAGCUAUCUACCUAUUAAUAUCAUUAUACUGUGCUAACAACAAAUUCAAAGUUUAGAUAGAUUAGUCUCCAACAUGAUGGUGUAUGUAUGUACAUCUUUUAAAGAUAGAACCUUUGGUAUCUCUGUUGUGUUGAACAAGUCACCUUUAAUAUCUUUGCUAGCCUAAAGCACUCUCUGAUACAAUCAUAAACAUGCUAGAGGCAAAUCCUGCUGAAAAUAAUAGUGUAAUUGAAUCCCCUCCUAUAUUUGAUUCGAUUUUGUAGGUUUUUUUUUUCCUUCAUGUUUUUUAAUGUUAUUUGUUGCUGGGAUGUCAUUAUUUCCAGUUUUUUGUCAAUUAACAUUGGGAUUUGUUUGUUGUCUUACAAGUUUUCGUGCCUUUGGGGCUGAAAUUGUUACCUUUUUCAUAUUUUGGUGUCAUGAUCAUUUGAUUUGAUUAAGGUAAUUGAACUUAGUGGAUUAUAUCUGCAAAUAAAUGAAAAUGAUAAACCUUAUUAACAUAGAUUUUCUACUUUAAGCUUUUUAUCAAUUUUAUGUCCCGUAUAAAGAAUGGAAGUGUAAAACUAAUUAGGAUUCCUAAACCUAAUUGUGCCCACACUUUGCCGAUAUAUCAAAAAUAGUAAUUUAUGAGUAAUUCCAUCAUUAAGAAGGCUAUUUGAAUACCAAUUUCCAAUAUUCAAAUUAUUAUUCUUAAUGUGAAGACGCUUCUUUCUUUUCGAGAUUUUUUCUUGAAAUUGGCUAAAAUCUCGUUCUACUUCACAACUAAUAAGAAAUUCAUAUGCACAUAACUUUGCUUCCGUGGGCCACUUGUGUGAAGAGAACUUGAGAGCAACAAGCAUAAAAUUCUUGCAACAGAUAGAAAACAUAUGCACACCUUAUCCUUCUUCCAGUUCCAACUCCAUUUUAUUCUUUCUACUUGCAACACCAUUAAGGAAACUACAUUAGUCCACCAAAGAUUAGCAUAAUCUCGACUAGCACUUAAAUAAGGUCUAGCAUACAACAGACUGAUAGAGUCUCCAAUGGAGUAAUUCAUUCAAGCCUAAUCACACAAAGGAAGAUGAUAGGAGCCAAAAAAAGCACUUUUAACUUUUACAUGGGAACAUAUUCUCCAGUGUAAAUUUGGGUUAAAGAAUUUUCUUCAAACAGAAAACACUCUGCUAAGAAGCUGGAUGUUCAUGCAAGAGCCUUCUACUCACAACAAACAGCAACACGAUAUAGAAGGUUUAGAGCUUAAGAAUUGCAAAUUUGGUCUUGGUUUCACUUCAAAGGCAUUCUUAUCUAACAUAUGAAUAUGUUCCCUUGAAGAAUUUGCUGAUUAUGCAUGCUGCCAAAGUUUAUUAACUCAGAAUUGUCUGCUCAGUGUUUAAUAAAGGAUCAAUGACAAAAUAACAAUUUGAAGAACUAUUGGCUUCAUUUUUUUUUUUUGGUGAUAAGACUAUCUGCUUAAAUCACUGUUGAUUUUUUAUUUUUUAUAUUAUUAUAUACGAAUAUCUGCUCCACUAUAUCUUGCUUAAAAAGGACGAAGGACAUUGCAAUUUCAUUCUUUACUAAAUGAACAAUUAAUUCCGGGAAACAAUGACAAAUAGUACAAAGAGCAUAACGACACUCCAGAUAUAAUUUCACUAAUCACUUAAACUUCCUAGACAGGGCAUGAGAUGAGGACGAUAACUUUUUUAUCUUUUGGAGGGUAAAAAUGGAGCUGAUAACUAUCCUCCUAACCAAGAACCUACCCAUAUGAGAACUGGCCUCAAGAAUUAGAUCAUAUAUGCAGUGAUAGUGUGAUACCAAGUGAAAUAGGAUUCGACUAUUUGAGCAACCGUUGCAAUACAUAGGUCAUAGGCCUUUUCUAUGGGCUUCAUAAAAAAAUGCACACAAACAUACAUGAUGCAAGUACGAAACUUGAGAUUCCAAACCUUCAGAAGUGCAAGGUUGGAGUAAAACACUACAAACUUCUCACAGACAUUAUCUUUAUGAAAGCAAGCAAGUUUUUGAUUGGAAAGGAAAAUGGAAAAACUUAUUUUCAUCAUAACCUCAAAAAUAUGGAUAGGAAAGACAUAUCAUAGGUUCAACAAGAUGAUUUUAGCAAAUAAUUCAUCAGAAUUCUCCGAUAAAAAAUUUAGAAUGACUACAAAAAUCUCUUGAUCCUGCAAUUGUUGCUCUAAAAAACCAAUCGAAAACAUUAUCUUCCUUUUCCUUUGUUUGAUACUUUGAUUCGGUUAUCAACACUAAUGGCAUAAACAUUUCACACAUGUUCAAUCACUCAUAAUUAAAACCUAAGCUCAUUCUUCAUGUACAACAACAAAUUUUGUACAAAGAAACUCAGUCUUUAACUUGAAGUAGAAGUAAAUGUUGGCUGUGGUUUCUUUGCUUCUUUUGCCCAACUCUUCAAAGUAAAAUACUAAAAUUAGAAAUCUCAGAAACACAAAAUCCAGUCUUUCCCAUAUAAUUCACACAAAAACAGUAAAGGCAUUACUUUUCUUUUUGAAGUAAAAUUCCAAAUUUACCUCACAUUGGCUCCACACUAGCUCCUCCUCGGCAAGCCUUGCUCUUACAUACAGGAAUAUCCUCGAACUGUUUAGCAGGCAAUUUCUCGGACAG
Long non-coding RNA from Rosa chinensis, 4083 nucleotides. RefSeq lists it as uncharacterized. The record is from RefSeq and is a predicted model, not a curated record. The transcript has 4 exons. NCBI's taxonomy places the organism in Eukaryota, Viridiplantae, Streptophyta, Magnoliopsida, Rosales, Rosaceae.